AGAAUGGCUGUAAGGGACCAUAUAUAGCAUGUGGUCACAUGGUGUCUCCCGCAGAAAAUCUUGCGUAAAAUACUGAGGUAGUCAUUUUUCCAAUCGCUUCUUAUGAGAAACCAAUUGCCUCGAUGGAUAUAUUAUCGAAUAUAUAUGUUAAAAACACCUUGAGGAUGGAUCCUAAACAACGUUUGCCGUGUUUCUGUCGAUAUUAUGGAGCAAAUUUUGAAAAAGGUUUGGCGUUAUAGUUGUAGCAUUUUACGGUCGAUUUCUCAGCCAAGCAUGAUGAAGAAACGGGAGCUAUUUCGCCUACAAAAAAUAAUAUUUUGGGAAAAAAGGAACAUUUGCUAUCUAACUGGGAGUCUCCUGAGUGAAAGCAUCCGAAGUUCUUCAAAGGUUUCUUUUUCUUCUGGACACAGUAAACUGCCAACACCAUCACUAGGACGAGGACUACGCCUGCCAGAGACGCUGCUACCAUCCCUAUGAUCUCUGGGUAAAACAGAGGAAACAGAGACAGAACAACAUAUAAGCAUGAAGGAGAGGCCUCAGUGUCUCUAUGUGUGUGUCCGUCCAGAGUCCAGCUGUACUGAGGACCGUCCCCCUCAGAGGAGCAGGACACCCUCAUCUCUCCAUGGGUCAGACACUGAGAGGACAGCUGAGGAGAGGACACUGGGGCUGUGGAGGAAGAAGAAUCGACAUCUGAAGACAUCUGCAGACUUUCGCACAAACAAAUGAGAAAACAACACUUCUUCUUCUUCUUCUUCUUCUUCGAGAGAGAGAGAGAGAGAGAGAGAGAGAGAGAGAGAGAGAGAGAGAGAGAGAGAGAGAGAGAGA
This is a long non-coding RNA of Oncorhynchus tshawytscha (Chinook salmon), 825 nucleotides long. The record is from Ensembl. NCBI's taxonomy places the organism in Eukaryota, Metazoa, Chordata, Actinopteri, Salmoniformes, Salmonidae.